GGAGUCACAGCUCAGUGGUAGAGCACUUGCCUAGCAUGUGUGAGGCACUGAGUUCAAUUCUCAGCACCA
Molecule: transfer RNA, 69 nt
Filed under: Marmota monax (woodchuck)
Lineage: Eukaryota; Metazoa; Chordata; Mammalia; Rodentia; Sciuridae
Description: tRNA.Ala
Rfam family: tRNA (bases 9-64)
About the family: Transfer RNA (tRNA) molecules are approximately 80 nucleotides in length. Their secondary structure includes four short double-helical elements and three loops (D, anti-codon, and T loops).
Source: RNAcentral